GUCUUUAGGGAAAAAAUAGAAAUUAAAAUCUUAUCUAAUGCAAAGCCAUUCUUGUUUCCGUUCAAUACAAGCAAAGAGGGUUAAGCAAGAAAGAAAAGAAGCAACUCAUACCACUAAUUUUCUGACAACUUGAAGUGUAGAAUUCCUUUUACCUAUCAAGAGAAACGUACAUUUUACUGAAGUCAUAGUGCACGCUCUCUAAAACUUAUGAAGGGUAAAUUUCGUCCACUGGUAAAGAAAUUUUUCAUUUUACUCAAACGAGACCUUAUUUCAUAAAGCACAGUAGAGAAUGUACCCUUAGCAAAAACCACAAAGUCCUACUUGUGUCUAACCCUCCUGGCUUCUCUCCACUCUAGGAUUUAAACCAAUCAAUGCUGCCAUCAAAUUAGAUAGAAUCUAGACCAUUCAAAUUACCAUAAGUGCUCUAGACUAACUAUCAUAUACAACUGAAAAUAACACCACGUGAAUGCAAAAUGAAUGAGAAAAGAAGACACUCAACAAUAUUCUAAAUGCAUCACGAACUUGCAAGGUAUUAGCAAAACAAAACCAGACAAAAAUGCAAACAGCUUGAAAACCUUGUAUCUUCAAAGGUUCAAGCUUGACGAGAACGUGUGUUUUGUCCCACCAUAUGCUGGAAACAAAUGGAUUAAAAAAUAUAAGACCUCUUUACUAGAAUUAAAAAAAAGAGG
This 689-nucleotide long non-coding RNA is filed under the name Olea europaea subsp. europaea. The record is from RNAcentral. Lineage: Eukaryota; Viridiplantae; Streptophyta; Magnoliopsida; Lamiales; Oleaceae.